Mauremys mutica (yellowpond turtle) is the source of this 714-nucleotide long non-coding RNA. RefSeq lists it as uncharacterized. The transcript is spliced from 3 exons. The record is from RefSeq and is a predicted model, not a curated record. Lineage: Eukaryota; Metazoa; Chordata; Testudines; Geoemydidae.
CAGGCGGGGGGGAUGGAAAGCUGUCGCUGUGAAUCCCUCUCAGCGCAUGGGGAGCGAGGGGGGGGCGGACGGAGGUUCGAUCCCCCGGCUGCAAUGAUCCCAUUAGAAGGAUUCUGGUCUCCUCCUUCCUGAGCCACGUUUCUGGUAGACGCGUGUUCAUCCGGAGUCACUGCCAGGCAGAACAGGGAGUGACUCCAGAUUAACCUGGGGGCAGAUCAGAUCAGGGCGUGUCCCUGUGGGGAGGGGGUUUCAGUUGUUGCCAGAGGGGGGAAAGUGACUCAGUUUCUCUCCAUCUCUUUCUCUGCUCAGGAUAUUGGGGUUGAGGUUCCUGGUUCAGAUGCUGCUGCCCCGAUUGUGGUGUGGGAGCCCAGGCUGAGCAGCUGCUGCUCCCCCAGCGGGAUCGGGGCUGGGGAGUGACCGUGAGUGAAGCUGCCUCUGUGCCCAAGGAUAACAAGCUUGUGGCUAGAGGGGAAGCGGUAGACAUGGUAUAUCGUGACUUGAGUAAUGCUUUGGAUACUGUCUGGCAUGACCUUCUCCUAAACAAACUAGAGAAGUACAACUGAGACGGAACUACCAUUAGGCUGCAGUGUCACGUCCCAUCCUUCCAGGGACCAGGGAAGGGAAAUGGCUGCCGUGGGGCCAGCUCAGGUAGGGAUUAUCGGGGAGUUGCUGGUGGGCUCCUGUUGGCGGGAGAAAGGCUGUAAAGACAUAGGA